This is an RNA transcript of Chrysoperla carnea, 551 nucleotides long. It is a transcript of the gene named glutaredoxin-2, mitochondrial-like, with no coding region annotated. The transcript has 2 exons. The record is from RefSeq and is a predicted model, not a curated record. NCBI's taxonomy places the organism in Eukaryota, Metazoa, Arthropoda, Insecta, Neuroptera, Chrysopidae.
AAAAUUUUUUGAAGCAAUGACAAUGCACGAAUCACUGCGUGGUAUUCGUACAAUGACUGAUAUUUUUACAAAAUAUAAAGUUGUAUUAUUCUCUAGAAGAAAUUGUCCAAAAUGUCAAACGACCAAGGAAAUAUUGGAUCAUUUACGAUUAAAUUACAAGAUAAUCGAUUUGGAUGAUUAUCAUAAAGCUAUUGAAUUAAAGGAAGUAUUACAGAAUGUAACAGGCAUACGUACUGAUUUAUUACCGCAAUUGUUUGUCGACGGAAAAUGUGUUGGAAGUGGUACAGCGAUACAAGAAAUGUACAAGAAGGGAAUUUUAAAGAAACGUGUUUCGUGCUUGUUUUGAAAACUUGAAGAGAGAAUGUAUAAAAAAACUGAAAAAAGUAUUAUUAGAAUCUAAAAGAUUAUUAUUAUGUAAUUUCGAGAACUCCAAAUUUUGUUGGAAUACAAAAGAAACGACAAAUGUAUAAUGGAAAAACAACAGUUUUCUUAUGGUUUCCAUCUGUUUCCUGUCAUAUUUGUUAACAAAUGGCGAAGUCCAACGUUUACUU